Gadus macrocephalus (Pacific cod) is the source of this 347-nucleotide long non-coding RNA. RefSeq lists it as uncharacterized. The record is from RefSeq and is a predicted model, not a curated record. NCBI's taxonomy places the organism in Eukaryota, Metazoa, Chordata, Actinopteri, Gadiformes, Gadidae. The transcript is spliced from 2 exons.
AAUAAUGAUUGAGUAAUCCAUUUUGAGUAGUCGACGUUCGGAAGACCGUUCUUACUUAACCACCUCAGAUGACGUGAAUCAAAUGACGUGUCAAUAACCUACCGGCCGGGCGCCGUUAAUAAAUAUUAUAAAUAAAUAUAUAAACGUCACAUUUAACGUCACAGUACAUCUUCAACCUAAGGAUUUGCGGUGAUAUGUUAAAAACAAUUAUUAAACAAUUAUUAAAAGCACUGCUGCUGCGGCUCCCCGUUUAGCGCCAUUGCUUCCACUGUUCUUUUGAAUAGACGCAGUGCAUUCUGGGGCAACAUUCGGAUACUACUCGCUUACCUAAAACUCGCUUACUACGU